Molecule: non-coding RNA, 96 nt
Organism: Vicugna pacos (alpaca)
Lineage: Eukaryota; Metazoa; Chordata; Mammalia; Artiodactyla; Camelidae
Source: RefSeq, a predicted model, not a curated record
AUGUAUUUUAGAAGAAAAUAUACUCUGGAUUUAAAAAAAAUAGUCAGAAGUACUCUGAAUAUCCUACCAAAAAAUGCUGAGUUAAAAAUCUCUGUA